Molecule: ribosomal RNA, 487 nt
Filed under: uncultured Turicibacter sp.
Lineage: Bacteria; Bacillati; Bacillota; Erysipelotrichia; Erysipelotrichales; Turicibacteraceae
Description: bacterial SSU rRNA
Rfam family: Bacterial small subunit ribosomal RNA
Source: RNAcentral
AGAGUUUGAUCCUGGCUCAGGAUGAACGCUGGCGGCGUGCCUAAUACAUGCAAGUCGAGCGAACCACUUCGGUGGGAAGCGGCGAACGGGUGAGUAACACGUAGGUGAUCUGCCCAUCAGACGGGGACAACGAUUGGAAACGAUCGCUAAUACCGGAUAGGACGAAAGUUUAAAGAUGCUCCUGGCAUCACUGAUGGAUGAGCCUGCGGCGCAUUAGCUAGUUGGUGGGGUAAAGGCCUACCAAGGCGACGAUGCGUAGCCGACCUGAGAGGGUGAACGGCCACACUGGGACUGAGACACGGCCCAGACUCCUACGGGAGGCAGCAGUAGGGAAUCUUCGGCAAUGGGCGAAAGCCUGACCGAGCAACGCCGCGUGAAUGAAGAAGGCCUUCGGGUUGUAAAAUUCUGUUAUAAGGGAAGAAGGGUGAUAGGAGGAAAUGACUAUCAAUUGACGGUACCUUAUGAGAAAGCCACGGCUAACUACGUG